This 498-nucleotide ribosomal RNA is filed under the name uncultured bacterium. RNAcentral's name for it is "partial 16S ribosomal RNA". The stretch from base 20 to 338 matches the Rfam family "Bacterial small subunit ribosomal RNA", at positions 47 to 358 of the family's 1533-position model. The record is from RNAcentral.
GAUGAACGCUGGCGGCGUGCCUAAUACAUGCAAGUCGAGCGAACAGACGAGGAGCUUGCUCCUCUGACGUUAGCGGCGGACGGGUGAGUAACACGUGGAUAACCUACCUAUAAGACUGGGAUAACUUCGGGAAACCGGAGCUAAUACCGGAUAAUAUAUUGAACCGCAUGGUUCAAUAGUGAAAGACGGUUUUGCUGUCACUUAUAGAUGGAUCCGCGCCGCAUUAGCUAGUUGGUAAGGUAACGGCUUACCAAGGCGACGAUGCGUAACCGACCUGAGAGGGGGAGCAGCCAAACAGGGAGAGAGAACAGGGACAAGAUGAAGAGGGGAGGCGCAAGGAGGGAUUAUGCAGAAAGGGGAGAAAGUUAGAGGAAGAACGGCGGGGGGAGGGAGGAGGGUCUAGGGAGAAAAAAACUGUUUUAUGAGGAAAAAAAAAAGGGGAAAGAAACAAGGCACGUCUGGAGGAAACAAAAUAAGAAACAAAGGAAAAACUAGGGA